RNAcentral lists this long non-coding RNA (1212 nucleotides) under Gallus gallus (chicken). Its description in RNAcentral is "lncRNA (ENSGALG00010020656.1)". The record is from RNAcentral. Lineage: Eukaryota; Metazoa; Chordata; Aves; Galliformes; Phasianidae.
CUCUUCCCUUUCUCUCCUAUCUCAAUUUCUCUGGGUUCCGUUCUGUUCACAAGCACUUGGUGGGUGUCAGAGCUGCUCUCACUUAAGGAGCUAAGCCCACAGUCUGUGCGCUUCCUCCAGCAGCAGGUUUACUCUCAGUGUGUGUGUGUGUCAUCCAUCUCUCUUUUCUUCAUCCAGAUACUCAGGAAAGCGAAUAAUGAAUUUGGAAGAUGUGAGGAUUUAUUAUAAGAUAAUUCUGAAUGUCCCCAGAAGCUCUGUUCCUAAAGCAGAAGUGCAAUAGUGCUCAAGGAGGAUUAAAGGACUAGGAUCGAGUACUUCCUAAAUACUGCUGCCUGCCCCUGUUCUAAACAACAGCUCAAAAAUAACAUACUUGCCUCUUCCGAGGGCUGUUCAAGAAGUAUAGGUAUGCACCCAAAAUAUAUCCAGAAGUUGAAAGAUCAGGCUCAACAUUUUGCAAAAAUAUUCCUACAGGGCAGUUUGACCUUCAGAAGAUACAGAACUGGCCCACGGUUCCUCUUUCUCUGAAGCUUUAGAAAAGAAUUCUGACAUAGGGCAUUUUGGUGGGUAGUUCAAUGCAAUGAACUUAAAAAAUAAGGCCAUGGAAGUACAACUACUGAUAAGCUCAGUGAUCAGUGACAGACUGCAAAACAGACAUCUGAUUUGCACAGAAACAUCUGGAGGGAGCUCCAAAUGCUCUGUGCUUGGUUCUGAGUCUCUGGGACUUGGCUCGUGGAAUUUUUAAUGUUCUUUUAAUCUCUUUUGAACAUAAAUAAGAGGGGAAGAGCAUGUGAACUUAACGAGUGUUUGCUUCAACAACAGCUUCAGAGACAUGUACACUUUCUGAACAUAACUUUAACAUUACAUUUCAUAUCCAUUUCACCUAGCCCUGGCAAGGCUAAGCCCCUGGGGUCCUAUUCACAAAUACUCAUGGCAGCCAGCGAGGGAAGGAUUCCAAGUCAGGAGGAACAUCAUAUCCCUGGUGUGUCAGUCAGUACUUUGUUCAGAGGGAAAGACGACGAAGCAAGACAGAAGGCUGCUGAAAACACAGAUGCUCACAUUUCUCCCACUAGAAACAGAACAAGAAUUUAUUUUCUUUUAUCAUAAAUCACAGGUUUUCUCUUAACGCUAUGCUUUAGACCUUCAGUCAGGGCUUAUGGCAGUAUAGAACCGCAUGCUCAAGUAAAUAUAAACUAUCUGGUGGAAAUGUCUUUC